This 72-nucleotide transfer RNA is filed under the name bacterium. RNAcentral's name for it is "tRNA-Lys". It matches the Rfam family "tRNA". From Rfam's summary of the family: Transfer RNA (tRNA) molecules are approximately 80 nucleotides in length. Their secondary structure includes four short double-helical elements and three loops (D, anti-codon, and T loops). The record is from RNAcentral.
CCCCUCUAGCUCAAUUGGCAGAGCAACGGACUCUUAAUCCGCAGGUUCUGGGUUCAAGUCCCAGGGGGGGUA